GACGAACGCUGGCGGCGUGCUUAACACAUGCAAGUCGAACGGAGUUAAGACUUCGGUUUUAACUUAGUGGCGAACGGGUGAGUAACGCGUGAGGAACCUGCCUCUCAGUGGGGGACAACAGUUGGAAACGACUGCUAAUACCGCAUAGUGUUAUUUGGGGGCAUCCCUGAAUAACCAAAGAUUUAUUGCUGAAAGAUGGUCUCGCGUCUGAUUAGCUAGUUGGUGAGGUAACGGCUCACCAAGGCGACGAUCAGUAGCCGGUCUGAGAGGAUGAACGGCCACAUUGGGACUGAGAUACGGCCCAG
This 305-nucleotide ribosomal RNA is filed under the name uncultured bacterium. RNAcentral describes it as "bacterial SSU rRNA". It matches the Rfam family "Bacterial small subunit ribosomal RNA", at positions 28 to 334 of the family's 1533-position model. The record is from RNAcentral.